Molecule: ribosomal RNA, 453 nt
Filed under: Xenorhabdus szentirmaii
Lineage: Bacteria; Pseudomonadati; Pseudomonadota; Gammaproteobacteria; Enterobacterales; Morganellaceae
Description: bacterial SSU rRNA
Rfam family: Bacterial small subunit ribosomal RNA
Source: RNAcentral
CGGGGUAACGGCCCACCUAGGCGACGAUCCCUAGCUGGUGUGGGAGGGUGAUCGGCCACACUGGGACUGAGACACGGCCCAGACUCCUACGGGAGGCAGCAGUAGGGAAUCUUCCGCAAUGGACGAAAGUCUGACGGAGCAACGCCGCGUGAGUGAUGAAGGCUUUCGGGUCGUAAAACUCUGUUGUUAGGGAAGAACAAGUGCUAGUUGAAUAAGCUGGCACCUUGACGGUACCUAACCAGAAAGCCACGGCUAACUACGUGCCAGCAGCCGCGGUAAUACGUAGGUGGCAAGCGUUAUCCGGAAUUAUUGGGCGUAAAGCGCGCGCAGGUGGUUUCUUAAGUCUGAUGUGAAAGCCCACGGCUCAACCGUGGAGGGUCAUUGGAAACUGGGAGACUUGAGUGCAGAAGAGGAAAGUGGAAUUCCAUGUGUAGCGGUGAAAUGCGUAGAGAU